This 211-nucleotide microRNA precursor is filed under the name Oryza meridionalis. Its description in RNAcentral is "MIR812 microRNA precursor family". It matches the Rfam family "MIR812 microRNA precursor family". The record is from Rfam by way of RNAcentral. Lineage: Eukaryota; Viridiplantae; Streptophyta; Magnoliopsida; Poales; Poaceae.
AAAGACUGCAGUUUCGUGCUGUUUAUAUUCAACAUUUGGUCGUUUGUUUUAUUUAAAAAAAUUUCAUGAUUAGUAUUUUUAUUGUUAUUAGGUGAUAAACCAUGAAUAGUACUUUAUAUGUGACUAUUUUCUUAAAAAAAAUUCUUCAUAAAUUUUUUAAAUAAGAUAGGCGGUCAAACGUCGGACACAGAAGCCCACAACUGUAUUUUAA